GAAAUGCGAUAAGUAAUGUGAAUUGCAGAAUUCAGUGAAUCAUCGAAUCUUUGAACGCACAUUGCGCCCGCUAGUACUCUAGCGGGCAUGCCUGUUCGAGCGUCAUUUCAACCCUCAAGCCCAGCUUGGUGUUGGGGUCCUACGGCUGCCGUAGGCCCUGAAAGGAAGUGGCGGGCUCGCUACAACUCCGAGCGUAGUAGGACUCUAUCUCGCUAGGGAGGUGCGGCGUGCUCCUGCCGUUAAAGACAUCUUUAACCAAAGGUUGACCUCGGAUCAGGUAGGAAUACCCGCUGAACUUAA
This 300-nucleotide unclassified non-coding RNA is filed under the name uncultured Sordariaceae. RNAcentral's name for it is "sequence contains ITS1". The stretch from base 1 to 105 matches the Rfam family "5.8S ribosomal RNA", at positions 50 to 154 of the family's 154-position model. The record is from RNAcentral. Lineage: Eukaryota; Fungi; Ascomycota; Sordariomycetes; Sordariales.